Molecule: ribosomal RNA, 851 nt
Filed under: uncultured bacterium
Lineage: Bacteria
Description: bacterial SSU rRNA
Rfam family: Bacterial small subunit ribosomal RNA
Source: RNAcentral
CAAGUCGAACGAGGUCCACCGAGUAGCAAUACGAGGGAAGACCUAGUGGCGAACGGGUGCGUAACACGUGAGAAACCAACCCCGGUCUCUGGGAUAACAGGCGGAAACGCCUGCUAAUACCGGAUAACGUCGUUUCCUCGCAUGGGGAGGUGACGAAAGGGUUACCGGAUCGGGACGGUCUCGCGGCCUAUCAGCUUGUUGGGGAGGUAACGGCUCACCAAGGCAUCGACGGGUAGCUGGUCUGAGAGGAUGAUCAGCCACACUGGGACUGAGACACGGCCCAGACUCCUACGGGAGGCAGCAGUGGGGAAUCUUGCGCAAUGGGCGAAAGCCUGACGCAGCAACGCCGCGUGCGGGAUGAAGGCCUUCGGGUUGUAAACCGCUUUUAACAGGAACGAAAAUGACGGUACCUGUAGAAUAAGGUGCGGCCAACUACGUGCCAGCAGCCGCGGUGACACGUAGGCACCAAGCGUUGUCCGGAUUUAUUGGGCGUAAAGAGCUCGUAGGCGGUUCAGGUAGUCGGGUGUGAAAACUCUGGGCUUAACCCAGAGACGCCACUCGAUACUCCUGUGACUAGAGUUCGGUAGGGGAGCGGGGAAUUCCUAGUGUAGCGGUGAAAUGCGCAGAUAUUAGGAGGAACACCGGUGGCGAAGGCGCCGCUCUGGGCCGAUACUGACGCUGAGGAGCGAAAGCGUGGGUAGCAAACAGGAUUAGAUACCCUGGUAGUCCACGCCGUAAACGGUGGGCACUAGGUGUGGGUUCCAACCAACGGAAUCUGCGCCGUCGCUAACGCAUUAAGUGCCCCGCCUGGGGAGUACGGCCGCAAGGUUAAAACUCAAAGGAAUUGACGG